GAAGCCCAAAAGAGUGAACAGAACAACAGGAUACGGAUAAGCCCAUAGGUAGAUGGACUAUAGGAUUUCAAGUUUUGGGGACCAAGAAAUAUAAAGCAAAAGUUUAAACUAAAUUAUUAUGAUUUUUAAAAAAAACGAAAAACAAAAAAACAAGACUUGUAAAACAAAUAAUCAUAUGAAGUUCACGUAGUGUUAGACCCAAAAAAAAAAAAAACAAAAAAGAAGUCCACAAGCAAGAUAUGAAGCACAUAAGAACCAUUUUAUAUUAUGAAAAAAAUUUGAAAACCCAUUCAUGAUACUUUUACUAAAAAUAUAAAUUUUAAAAAACACAAAAUAUAGAAGGAAUUGGGCUACAGCCCAAAAUUGAAAGACAAUUUAUUCAGUAAAGAAGGGUCAAAGCACUUCGUAUUUUCCCAGCAUUUAUAUUUUUUUUAAGGGGAAGGGAUGUAAUAAAUUAUGAGUCCUCCAUUUUUUUUUCUUCCUAUUUUCUUUUUAUACAAGUGAUAUUAGGGUAAGGGGAAUCAAACUUAAGACCUUGAGGAGUGCAUAGUAAAGAUGUCAAAAGGGCUAUGCCAGACCGAACAGGCUGGUUUAGAGUCGACACAAUUAAUAAACGAGUCAAACUAAGUCCAUCCAUUUAUGAAAAUUAUAAGUCUUGCUUGAGUCAACAACCCUAGCCCAUAUAAGACUGGCAUGGGCUUGUGUCAGGCCACGAAACGGGCCGAUACGGGCCCACGCCAAGCUCAACUUAUGUAUUGCAUAUUUUGUAUUCUUUUUCUUACAAAUUCAUUUCAAUCUUUUUAACAGUAGGCUCUGAAGAACAUCAUGACAUAUCCUACCAAGACUUCCAUGAAUGUCAAGUUUCAUAACAUUGUUGCCUUCCG
Molecule: long non-coding RNA, 884 nt
Filed under: Prunus persica (peach)
Lineage: Eukaryota; Viridiplantae; Streptophyta; Magnoliopsida; Rosales; Rosaceae
Description: long non-coding RNA (PPER_LNC007654)
Source: RNAcentral